UGGGGAAUAUUGCACAAUGGGCGCAAGCCUGAUGCAGCAACGCCGCGUGAAGGAAGACGGUCUUCGGAUUGUAAACUUCUGUUCUUAGUGAAGAAAAUGACGGUAGCUAAGGAGCAAGCCACGGCUAACCACGUGCCAGCAGCCGCGGUAAUACGUAGGUGGCAAGCGUUGUCCGGAAUUACUGGGUGUAAAGGGAGCGCAGGCGGGAGAGCAAGUCAGCUGUGAAAUCCAUGGGCUUAACCCAUGAACUGCAGUUGAAACUGUUUUUCUUGAGUGAAGUAGAGGUUGGCGGAAUUUCGAGUGUAGCGGUGAAAUGCGUAGAUAUUAGGAGGAACACCAGUGGCGAAGGCGGAUUGCUGGACGACAACUGACGGUGAGGCGCGAAAGCGUGGGGAGCAAACAGGAUUAGAUACCCUGGUAGU
Molecule: ribosomal RNA, 422 nt
Filed under: uncultured Eubacterium sp.
Lineage: Bacteria; Bacillati; Bacillota; Clostridia; Eubacteriales; Eubacteriaceae
Description: bacterial SSU rRNA
Rfam family: Bacterial small subunit ribosomal RNA
Source: RNAcentral